Dermacentor andersoni is the source of this 1940-nucleotide long non-coding RNA. RefSeq lists it as uncharacterized. NCBI's taxonomy places the organism in Eukaryota, Metazoa, Arthropoda, Arachnida, Ixodida, Ixodidae. The record is from RefSeq and is a predicted model, not a curated record.
UAUGCAAUGUUUAAUGGAAGUCUUUUUAAUUGCAAAUCUUAAAGGAGUACUGACACAUUCUUUGAAGCUGCGGUAGCUCUCCUCGAAUGCACAAGGACAGCACUCGGCAAGUAUGAAAGUUGGGAAACACUUGUACGGUGUUCGGUCAUCUUGUAAUGCGCUGAGUGACUGAGUAAAACUAUAACCACGAUGUAACACCAGGCAAAAAUGACAGAGCGCAGACUGCCUACUGGUUUAUUGUCAAUGAGACAUUGCCCAUAUUGUGGGCUCCAGUCAAGAGAAUACACAAUGACAAAACAGCGGAUGCAGCGUAUGAUAAGCCAUUGCCAGGUGCAUGGCUUCAAUUCACAUGACAGUUCUUGCCGGCUCAUAUCUUGGGUUGCCUAGAGCAAGAGAAGUUGGGCUUCCACAUAUAUAUUCUUUUCCAACCCAAUGUUCGGAGCCUCCAAAAUUUCUCUACAUACUCUAGAUUUCUCUAGAACUCUGCUUUGUUAGCCUGCUUCUCACCAAUCUGGGUCAAUGCGAAGUGUGUUCAAAAAUUUUGUGCUGCUAUUUUAUUAUUGUCCCCUUCGCAGUCUGGGAUUUGCUCCGCAGCAUGUGAAAUAGAGUGCAAGUUAGCUGCGCGGGCUGAAGGCUUGUCUUUGUUUUUGAAAAGCGUUGUGUUGUGCCUGUGAGUGCAUUUGUUGUGCUGAUUCGUAUUCUGGGAUUCAUUCAACACAUGCUGCGCCGCGGCCUGUGACGCCAAGUGCCAGUUAGCUGUGCUCAGGCCGGGGCAAAAAGUGUUUUGUGGAAAAUUGUAAGUCGAGACUUGUUCUGAGCAUGUGUUGCUUAUCAAGGCUCCACAUGAACCUGAGCGUUUAAAAAAGUGGCUUCACCCUCCAUGUGAAGAAGAGGAUGCUUUUCAACGCGACACUGACACUUUGAGUGGCUUCCAAGAGCAGAUAGUUUUGCAGCCUACUGACCACGUGUGUACGAAGCGCUUCCCAUAUGGAGUGAUCUCUGUAGCACAUCAUGCAGAAUACAAGGAACACGUCCUUCUGCACUCUCAAAGGAAACCUGUGCUUUCACCUGACGCUGUGCCUAGCAUUUUCCCAAACUGCCCAAAAUACUUGAUCGUGCAGCAAAAAAACCGAGAAAACCUCCGCGAAAACAGAAGGCCCUGCUGCCAACUUUUCAGAAGCAAGGGCAGCCAAAAGCGUUUAAUGCUUUUGAACAGCUUUACUUGACUGUUGAAAAUACGCCAAAUUUAUUGCACUAGAGACAACAAGUUCAGAACAUGCUGAUGCUGAAUCAACAGGCGCGCUGCGUAAGCGGCCACGCUUUGAUUUCAGCAGUGUUGUGCACCCUCCAUGUGAAGAAGAGGAUGCUUUUCAACACGACACUGACACUUUGAGUGGCACAUGCACUGUCGACGCACUUAAUCAUCCAGCCAAAAAGAGCAAGAGAGCAGUCGUGGACCAACAGAAGAGCAGCAAUACACCAGUUGCUCUUUGUUGCCGAUCUGCUUCUACCAUUCCAGAGAACAGCUCUGUUGAGCAUCCCUGACCAACACAAAGAGCAGAGGUGGACUGUUGCACCCCAACUUGAAGUUCGUUCAGUUGUUGAGAACAGCUGAGCAGUACUUUGGGAAAAAUUCAGAUGGUCGGUCUGUAUACUGGGAAAAGGAGCAUGUGCUUCACAUGAGCCCAAAGAAGUCAUUGCACAUAUUCUGCCCUUAACAAUGAGAAUGUGGCGGCACUCUGUAAGGCCGUAAGCAUGAACAUUAAGGAACAAGCUGAAGAGAAAAGAAAGCUAGCAAAACUAUUUUCAUCCCGAAUUUUGUUGCAAAGUUUACAGAAUAUACUAAUAUGUGUUAUAUUUCUUGUGAAUGUAUGUUGCAAACAGUUUGUGCCUUGUAAGAUAUAGUUUUGUGGAAAAAUAAAGCGUGUGUUCACCCCUUG